CUUCCUCCUCUUCAGUCUUCCAAAUUGCCGUACUAUAAAGCACUGAGCUGAGCUCCCUCGCUGCUCCUCCCGCACGUUUCAAUUCAACAAACACUUCUUCAACUUAACUUUCCCCUCCUCCUCCUCCUCCUCCAUGUCAACCCCAACCUCCCCAUUUCCUCUUUCCCAAUAUGCCCUCCCAUUUCCCAACUAAUCCCACUUCUACCCCAACACCCAACUUCGACGACCCAACCUCCUCCUCCGACAACCCGAACGCCGCCCGAUCACCCAAAACGACACCGUCAGAGAUGUGGAACUACCUCUGGAUUCCUUUCCUGAUUUCCUUGUCCAAGGAGCUCAGCUUGGCCAAGGCCCAGUCCCCGAUUCUCUUGCCGAGUCAAC
This 381-nucleotide long non-coding RNA is filed under the name Prunus persica (peach). Its description in RNAcentral is "long non-coding RNA (PPER_LNC004119)". The record is from RNAcentral. Lineage: Eukaryota; Viridiplantae; Streptophyta; Magnoliopsida; Rosales; Rosaceae.